AUACCUUAUNCGCCCUUCGGGGGAAAGAUUUAUCGGAGAGGGAUCGGCCCGCGUUAGAUUANAUAGUUGGUGGGGUAAUGGCCUACCAAGUCUACGAUCUAUAGCUGGUUUUAGAGGAUGAUCAGCAACACUGGGACUGAGACACGGCCCANACUCCUACGGGAGGCAGCAGUGGGGAAUCUUANACAAUGGGCGAAAGCCUGAUCUAGCCAUGCCGCGUGAGUGAUGAAGGCCCUAGGGUCGUAAAGCUCUUUCGCCAGGGAUGAUAAUGACAGUACCUGGUAAAGAAACCUCGGCUAACUCCGUGCCAGCAGCCGCGGUAAUACGGAGGGGGUUAGCGUUGUUCGGAAUUNNNGGGCGUAAAGCGCGCGUAGGCGGAUUGGAAAGUUGGGGGNGAAAUCCCGGGGCUCAACCCCGGAACUGCCUCCNNAACUAUCAAUCUANAGUUCGAGAGAGGUNANUGGAAUUCCAAGUGUANAGGUGAAAUUCGUANAUAUUUGGAGGAACACCANNGNNNAANGNNGNUCACUGGCUCGAUACUGAC
Molecule: ribosomal RNA, 544 nt
Filed under: uncultured bacterium
Lineage: Bacteria
Description: partial 16S small subunit ribosomal RNA
Rfam family: Bacterial small subunit ribosomal RNA
Source: RNAcentral